This 355-nucleotide ribosomal RNA is filed under the name uncultured bacterium. Its description in RNAcentral is "bacterial SSU rRNA". It matches the Rfam family "Bacterial small subunit ribosomal RNA", at positions 8 to 350 of the family's 1533-position model. The record is from RNAcentral.
AGAGUUUGAUCAUGGCUCAGGAUGAACGCUAGCUACAGGCUUAACACAUGCAAGUCGAGGGGCAGUAUGGUCUUAGCUUGCUAAGGCUGAUGGCGACCGGCGCACGGGUGAGUAACACGUAUCCAACCUGCCGUCUACUCUUGGCCAGCCUUCUGAAAGGAAGAUUAAUCCAGGAUGGGAUCAUGAGUUCACAUGUCCGCAUGAUUAAAGGUAUUUUCCGGUAGACGAUGGGGAUGCGUUCCAUUAGAUAGUAGGCGGGGUAACGGCCCACCUAGUCAACGAUGGAUAGGGGUUCUGAGAGGAACGGUCCCCCACAUUGGAACUGAGACACGGUCCAAACUCCGUACGGGAGGCA